CCAUUGCAAAACUCCACUUUUACCAGAUGCUGGGAGCAGUCCAGGAACAGGAUCAUCCACAGACUGCUGAAACCUGGCAUGAUGAGCUGCUGUUAUAUCAGCUCAUACUCUUGUGUACAUUGUACUUUUGAAAAAUAAAGAGAUUCUAAUAUAA
Molecule: long non-coding RNA, 154 nt
Organism: Scatophagus argus
Lineage: Eukaryota; Metazoa; Chordata; Actinopteri; Scatophagidae
Exons: 2
Source: RefSeq, a predicted model, not a curated record